CUACGGGAGGCAGCAGUGAGGAAUACUGGUCAAUGGGCUUACGCCUGAACCAGCCAAGUCGCGUGAGGGAAGACUGCCCUAUGGGUUGUAAACCUCUUUUGUCAGGGAGCAAUUGGCGCUACGUGUAGCGUUAUCGAGAGUACCUGAAGAAAAAGCAUCGGCUAACUCCGUGCCAGCAGCCGCGGUAAUACGGAGGAUGCGAGCGUUAUCCGGUUUUAUUGGGUUAAAAGGGUGCGCAGGCGGCGUGUCAAGCAAGCGGUAAAAUAGCGGGGCUCAACCCCGUCGAGCCGUUUGAACUGGCGCGCUUGAGUUCAGGCGAGGUAGGCGGAAUUCGUGGUGUAGCGGUGAAAUGCAUAGAUAUCACGAAGAACUCCGAUUGCGAAGGCAGCUUACCAGUCUGCGACUGACGCUCAGGCACGAAAGUGUGGGUAUCGAACAGGAUUAGAUACCCCAGUAGUC
This 459-nucleotide ribosomal RNA is filed under the name uncultured bacterium. RNAcentral's name for it is "partial 16S ribosomal RNA". It matches the Rfam family "Bacterial small subunit ribosomal RNA", at positions 339 to 795 of the family's 1533-position model. The record is from RNAcentral.